This 309-nucleotide long non-coding RNA is filed under the name Populus trichocarpa (black cottonwood). Its description in RNAcentral is "long non-coding RNA (PTRI_LNC000686)". Lineage: Eukaryota; Viridiplantae; Streptophyta; Magnoliopsida; Malpighiales; Salicaceae. The record is from RNAcentral.
GGGCAUAAAGGAUGGUUGGGGGAAAAUGAAAAGAGGGAAGGCACAAGACAGACGGCAGGGGAGAUCCCCGUUUCAAGAGGAUGAGUAAAAACCCAUUACCUGAAAAAGGGCUCCGUUGGCUUAACAUAAAAGCCAAGCUGAAACGAGUAAAAAGAAUAUCCCAUGCAUAAUUUGAAAUCAAGGCCUGUUAAAAUUAAACUCCACGGGGCAAAAACUUUCCUGGAGUAAAAGAAAAGUAGAGGGAAAGAAGAACUAUAACCUGGAAAGAACAUUAAAGUUAGUCUUCAUUCUGUUAAAGCAUUAGUGAUA